UCUAUAUACUUAAAAUUGAGGCUCACACUUCAUAUCUAGCUCAUAAUGUAGUAACUCCCACUUUUUUGCAAGUAUGCAUGUUGCGAAAGCUUGCUCAAAGGAUCAUCAAAAUGGUGUUUUUUCAAGCUCAGUCCAACGUUACCUUUCUCUACUAAACAACCAUUCCAAUUGGUUCCAAUCCACAACCCAUAUAUUCACCUCGAUUGCUUCUCAAUCUCAUCCACAAAAGGACAAAAUAACGAUGAUGAUUUGUAGCCACAAAGGUAAGAAGAAAACACAAAGUUAAUCACCAGUUUUUCGUACACAAAGUUAACCGGUUUUUUCUCUUCAAAGGGGCCAUGUUUUUCUUCUUAUUUUUCUCACAAAUCACACUAGAAAACGGCUAGGGUUAUAUCCAUAUAAAUAGGGUUAGUUUAUGCUUUUAAUUGGACCAAUAACAAAGCUAAACGGGACAAGAUUCAAAGUUACCUAAGAGAGAUAGAAAAAGGUCGAGUAGAGCCUGUGGAUUUGGAUGUUGGUACUUGUUUCAUUCAUCGGGCUAGGCCUAUGAAAUAUAUAUUCUCACGUUAACAUCAUACCCCGAAUUUAUUGGGUAUCAAAACCCAACAAAUCUCCAUCUAGAUGCCCAAUAAACCUGCAAACAAUCAAAACACAUAGUUAUUUAUUGCAUAAUCAAGAUAACCAAUAAAAUUGAAAUCACAGACCUUAGGUCAUGUUUCGGACCCGAAACACAUACCAUACUUACUCCAUGUACGCACCAGGGCUAAAGUCAAGAAUACCCAAG
This 784-nucleotide long non-coding RNA is filed under the name Olea europaea subsp. europaea. Lineage: Eukaryota; Viridiplantae; Streptophyta; Magnoliopsida; Lamiales; Oleaceae. The record is from RNAcentral.